CCGCUAAUGGCUCAGAUGGAGAUGGAACGCAUCUCCCUCCAGAAUGGAUCUGCUCCGCCCGUGUUCGAGCUUACUUUGUAAUCUGGCUCAGAUUUAUCUAAUCUUUUCCCUCCCCCCUUCUCUUGGCAGACGGUCCCAGACCCGCCCUCCCAGCCAGCACCCGGGACGGCGCUAGCCUCAUUCCCUCUCCGUGGCUGCUUGGGGCUGCGGACGCCCCAUCACCGAGAUCGCCCGAGUAGCCUUAGCGACAGCUGAGAUAAAUGUGGGCUUGGGGAGCAGAAGCCCCUGCAGAAGUCAGCAGGGGCCAUAAAGGAGCAGAUUCCUCCCCCCCUCCCAAAAGCCACACACCGCCGCAUGCAGGCCAAGCCUCCGCCUGCCAGUCAACCCCGGCUGUCCUGAGCCGGGGAGGAACAAUGCAGAAGGGCAGCGCCAGAAAAAUGUUUGCCCGGGGAUUACCAGACAUCGCAGAGCAGACGGCAAGGGCUUCAGGAAGCCCAGAACUUCCUAAGGAAACAACCCCCAAAAGAUGUCUGGACAGCGUCUACCCCUUCUGCCAUGACGGUGGCCCUCCCUGUGCGACCCAUCUCUUGUGGAUGGCCAUACUCCAUCCGCAGGUAAGGAUGGGUCUCCACCUGCUCUGCACGUACCUAGAGCUCCUAUCCUGGGGACGGCCCCUGGAGCUGCACCCCUCCUCCGGCAGGGACACAGAGCAGUGGGUGGUCUCAGUCCUGCAUGUUUGUGCCUUCGAGUGCAGGACAUGGGAACCACGUGAGCUGGACCUCCAGGGCCUGAGAAAGAACGGAUGGAUGGUGGGUGAGGACAGAGUGUGGCAGCGAGG
This 838-nucleotide long non-coding RNA is filed under the name Felis catus (domestic cat). RNAcentral's name for it is "lncRNA (ENSFCAG00000041593.2)". The record is from RNAcentral. Lineage: Eukaryota; Metazoa; Chordata; Mammalia; Carnivora; Felidae.